Molecule: long non-coding RNA, 1368 nt
Filed under: Sarcophilus harrisii (Tasmanian devil)
Lineage: Eukaryota; Metazoa; Chordata; Mammalia; Dasyuromorphia; Dasyuridae
Description: lncRNA (ENSSHAG00000032117.1)
Source: RNAcentral
UUUCAGUUCUGAAAUCAGCCUACAAAUAUUUCACUACAUUAACAUCAAUCUGGUGAUCAUUUAAUAAAUAAAGGAAUGUGUGUAUAUAUAUACAUAUAUAUAUAUAUACCUUUAUAAAAAUAAGUUUGAUAUAUUUAGGAUUCCCAACAAUAACAGCAGUAAACCUGAUUCCCCAAGGGUCAUAUGCUUUGGGUCUUACACAGAUCACUAGCAACAAAACAAGUUCUUUUACAGGAAAAACAAAAACAAAAACAAAAAAAAAAAACUCACAAUUUUUACAAACUUAAAUACUAUCUAAAUCUGCAAUCUGGUAUAGGAAACAAUAUGAAAUAUCACUAAUAUCAGUGCUGACAACUGGUGUCAUACUAAAAGACACAAUUUCCAGUUAGAAAUAGGGCAAACAAGGAUGACUGUUUCAUUGGACGUUGAAGGGUGCUAAUCGACAUCACCAUCACAAGAAUUCAAUGAAACACUGGAUUCAAGAAAUUUAACACAUGCGGUUAAUUAAGUUGACAUUACAGUAAAACCAUUAUAUUUUUUAAAAUAUACAUUAAACAUAUGGUCAAUAACUCCAUUAGCUGCCAAAUAUAGAGAACUGGUAUAUAAUGCAAACCAUACUCAGAAACACAGCUGUUCGAAAAGCCUAAAUUGGAACCAGUCUAUAUUCCACAGGACAGGGCAUCGACAAGGCAUUUAAUAGCAAAACAGUCAGAAGAAUGCAAUAUUCAGGAACAAGGCUGAUUUAUACCAGAUACUAUACAGCAAACUGAUUAACACCCAAUACCAAUUAAAAGCACUGUAUCACAUCCGGAAAAGAAAAAGAAUUCCAUUAUCUAUAGAUAAGAGGCAGAGUUCUGAAAUUUACAAACUGCCCCCCAAACAAGGUACUUUUGUACAACUGUGACACAUUACAAUGUACACCCAUAUUGUAGGAGCUUUGACAUCUUAAGCUUUUAACCCUAACACUUUGUAAGAUAACAGCUGAAUUUAUAGUUAGAUCAGCCAGUUUCAAAAUCCACCAAUAAGUAUGAACCAGCAGGAGAGAUGUCCUUUUUCUGAAGAUCUGUUUAAGUAAAGAUGGGGCAGGGGAACAUCAGACUGAGCUGAAAUGAAGUAAUUAAAGCUUAUCUCUGACCUUUCUAAGAGCAAGGCAAAACUCGCAUUUGGGAAAUCCUGUUGCAAAAAAGGCAGAUUUACUACUCCCCACCCACAUCAAUGGGAUUGGGGUUGGAACCUAAAGCAGAAAGGAGGUGGGAGACUAGAGGGAAGUUGAGGAAAUAGCAACAGAACUUUGUAUGGAAAAAUAUAUUUCAACACAUCAAGGGAAUACACUAAGACAUCAUGUGCACACAAUGGGACAAGCCAAAA